CCUACGGGCGGCUGCAGUGGGGAAUAUUGGACAAUGGGGGCAACCCUGAUCCAGCCAUGCCGCGUGUGUGAAGAAGGCCCUCGGGUUGUAAAGCACUUUCAGUGAGGAAGAACGCCUGGUGGUUAAUACCCAUCAGGAAAGACAUCACUCACAGAAGAAGCACCGGCUAACUCCGUGCCAGCAGCCGCGGUAAUACGGAGGGUGCGAGCGUUAAUCGGAAUUACUGGGCGUAAAGCGCGCGUAGGUGGCUUGAUAAGCCGGUUGUGAAAGCCCCGGGCUCAACCUGGGAACGGCAUCCGGAACUGUCAAGCUAAAGUGCAGGAGAGGAAGGUAGAAUUCCCGGUGUAGCGGUGAAAUGCGUAGAGAUCGGGAGGAAUACCAGUGGCGAAGGCGGCCUUCUGGACUGACACUGACACUGAGGUGCGAAAGCGUGGGUAGCAAACAGGAUUAGAUACCCCGGUAGUC
This 465-nucleotide ribosomal RNA is filed under the name Vreelandella stevensii. RNAcentral's name for it is "partial 16S ribosomal RNA". It matches the Rfam family "Bacterial small subunit ribosomal RNA", at positions 338 to 795 of the family's 1533-position model. Lineage: Bacteria; Pseudomonadati; Pseudomonadota; Gammaproteobacteria; Oceanospirillales; Halomonadaceae. The record is from RNAcentral.